Long non-coding RNA from Mytilus californianus (California mussel), 1807 nucleotides. RefSeq lists it as uncharacterized. The transcript has 3 exons. NCBI's taxonomy places the organism in Eukaryota, Metazoa, Mollusca, Bivalvia, Mytilida, Mytilidae. The record is from RefSeq and is a predicted model, not a curated record.
AUAAGAUGAAUGAAAACAUGGUAAAUACUUGUAGAUUUUUACAGUCAUAAUGUGAACACAAUAUUCUCAAAAUGACAGAAACUGAAGCAGAAGAAACAAAAUUAACAAGAGAUGAAACCAGUGAAGCAUCCCCUCUGUCUGGUCAAAUGGAAAACACGGAAGAAACUUUAAUAGGUCAAAUUCAAAAGAGAAUUGCUGAUUAAAAACAUUUCAAAGAAGAUAACCCAGGCUGCUUUCGUAUUGUUGUAUCUUUAUCUAUAUUACUUAUAAUAUCUGUCUGCUUAAACAUUCACUUCAGCUAUAAACAGAAACAAAGUUGCAUUUAUGAUGAAAGCUGUCAAAAUAUAACUAGCCCACAAAUGUUCAAUGAACACGAUGGUAACAACUGUUCAAGAAAAUCAACAAACAAUGUUAUUACAAACAUCGGAAGGAUUUUGAAUCUGGAAUUGUGGAAAGAUGGGUUAAAAAUAGAAUUGCGACUUCCAACUAGUUUUAUUUUACAUAAAAUGUCAUACGAUGAUGAGAGAGAAAUUGUGUUGUGUAGAAAGGACAGAAAUCAUUUUUACAUUUAUUGUAACAAAACUUAUUACGAUAACUGCACUGUCAAUCAUAAAAGUGGAGAAAAUACGACCAUUCAGGAAGCAGAUGGUCGAAUGUUGACUUAUGACAUAUCUACUAAGUGCAUUGAUUAAAGAGCUGUACUUGAAUGGAUUCAACCACAAAAGUACAAGUCAACAAAACCCAAAAUUUAAAUUUGCAAUUGAUUGAUUUUAACAUAAAGUAUUUAACAUCUUGAAAAAUUGUGUGUUUCAUAUCGUUUGACAAAUCAAGAAUAUUCAACUGCUCUUUAUUUUGCUAGUGAACAGUGAACAGUGAACCGAUGAUAGAACAAUGCAUAUGUAAUAAUAAAAAUACCUUUAUUGUGUUAAGAUCCAUGUUAUGAGGGCAUAUUUGCCUUUUCUUUAUUUGUACAUGUUGUAAUGUUAUAACAUUUGAUAAAAAAAAGACAAUGGUUACCAACCAAAAGAAUUAUUUAACUCAACAAUUUUUUCACUGUAUAUACUUAUACUAUCUUGUAUAUAAAUUGCCUUGCAAUGUUUUUCAAUGUUAAUUAUUUUUGUUAGACGUACUGAUGUUUGUAAGUGCAGUUAGCUGUGAUGCCUAUUUUUUUAUUAUCAUUGUUUUUAUCUUUCAUGUUUAUUGUUUAUUGUUAUAGGUGGCAAAUGCCUACCAGCUAGUCUUCAUUUUACAAAGUGUACAUAAUAACAAUCAAAUUUCAUUCAGGAUUCCCUCCCCCAACAAAACAUAAUAAGAAAGGCAAGUUGUAAAAUGUUACUGCAUAUAAAACUUCAACAUGAAAAAAAAAUUGAGCUAAAUUAAAGGUUUAACUCUUGCAAAAUAUAUCUGUCCUCGGAAUGUACAUAAAAUUAUAAGCUUAAAUAUAAAAUACACACUUUAAGCAGUCUAUUUUUGGGUUCUAAACAACAAGAAUCAGGAUUUAAAAAUUUAAUGAAAUAGAAAAAAAACGCAAAUAGUAUGUUCUUUACGGACUGUUUAAAAAUAAGCUACGUAUGCUUAAGUGUAGAUAUUUUAGUAGGAAAAUGAGAAACGACAAGACAAAAUAAAUUACUGUCUUUUGUUUAAGACCUUCUUCUGCCCUUUGCAUGCUUUUCUGUAAUAUAUGUAGCUACGUUUAGGGUAUAAAUGACGUAUACCCUAUGUUUAUUUUGUUUACACACAAAGUAUAUAACUGUAACCGGUUUUUUUUGUCGGUAUCAUAAAUUAUCGUAUAAAAGUUUAUUCAAUA